GCCUUCGUGGUGUAACGGCAGCACACUCGGCUCUUAUUCAAGAAGGUCCAGGUUUGAGUCCAGGCGAGGGUA
Molecule: transfer RNA, 72 nt
Filed under: Stegodyphus mimosarum
Lineage: Eukaryota; Metazoa; Arthropoda; Arachnida; Araneae; Eresidae
Rfam family: tRNA
About the family: Transfer RNA (tRNA) molecules are approximately 80 nucleotides in length. Their secondary structure includes four short double-helical elements and three loops (D, anti-codon, and T loops).
Source: Rfam by way of RNAcentral